GACGAACGCUGGCGGCGUGCUUAACACAUGCAAGUCGAACGGAAAGGCCCUGCUUUUGUGGGGUGCUCGAGUGGCGAACGGGUGAGUAACACGUGAGUAACCUGCCCUUGACUUUGGGAUAACUUCAGGAAACUGGGGCUAAUACCGGAUAGGAGCUCCUGCUGCAUGGUGGGGGUUGGAAAGUUUCGGCGGUUGGGGAUGGACUCGCGGCUUAUCAGCUUGCUGGUGGGGUAGUGGCUUACCAAGGCUUUGACGGGUAGCCGGCCUGAGAGGGUGACCGGCCACAUUGGGACUGAGAUACGGCCCAGACUCCUACGGGAGGCAGCAGUGGGGAAUAUUGCACAAUGGGCGGGAGCCUGAUGCAGCAACGCCGCGUGCGGGAUGACGGCCUUCGGGUUGUAAACCGCUUUCGCCUGUGACGAAGCGUGAGUGACGGUAAUGGGUAAAGAAGCACCGGCUAACUACGUG
Molecule: ribosomal RNA, 468 nt
Filed under: uncultured bacterium
Lineage: Bacteria
Description: partial 16S ribosomal RNA
Rfam family: Bacterial small subunit ribosomal RNA
Source: RNAcentral